This 497-nucleotide ribosomal RNA is filed under the name uncultured bacterium. RNAcentral describes it as "partial 16S ribosomal RNA". It matches the Rfam family "Bacterial small subunit ribosomal RNA", at positions 28 to 507 of the family's 1533-position model. The record is from RNAcentral.
GAUGAACGCUGGCGGCGUGCCUAAUACAUGCAAGUCGAGCGGACAGACGAGGCGCUUGCUCCUCUGACGUUAGCGGAGGACGGGUGAGUCACACGUGGAUAACCUACCUAUAAGACUGGGAUAACUUCGGGAAACGGGAGCUAAUACCGGAGAAUAUAUUGAACCGCAGGGUUGAAUAGUGAAAGACGGUUUUGCUGGCACUUAUAGAUGGAUCCGAGCCGCAUUAGCUAGUUGGGAAGGUAACGGGCUACCAAGGCAACUAUGCGUAGGCGACCGCUUUGGGUGGUAGCCCACCUUGGAAGUGAACCACGCACCAUACGCCUGCGGUAGGCAGCAGACGCCAAUCGUCCGCAGAGGGCGAAAGCCUUACGCAGCAACGCGGCGCGAGUUAUGAAGGUGUCGGGUUCGUAAUGCCCUCUUUUGGGGUAAGAACAAAUUUCUACUUAGAUGUGCCCUUCUUGACGGUACCGAAUAAAAAAGCACCGGCUAACUACGUG